UAGGGGGCAAGCGUUGUCCGGAUUUAUUGGGCGUAAAGAGCGUGUAGGCGGCUUUGCAAGUCCGUUGUGAAAACUCGAGGCUCAACCUCGAGACGCCGGUGGAAACUGCAAAGCUAGAGUCCGGAAGAGGAGAGUGGAAUUCCUGGUGUAGAGGUGAAAUUCGUAGAUAUUCGCAAGAACACCAGUGGCGAAGGCGGCUCACUGGCCCGAUACUGACGCUGAGGCACGAAAGCGUGGGGAGCAAACAGG
Molecule: ribosomal RNA, 249 nt
Filed under: uncultured bacterium
Lineage: Bacteria
Description: partial 16S ribosomal RNA
Rfam family: Bacterial small subunit ribosomal RNA
Source: RNAcentral